This 941-nucleotide long non-coding RNA is filed under the name Homo sapiens (human). Its description in RNAcentral is "HSALNT0342332". Lineage: Eukaryota; Metazoa; Chordata; Mammalia; Primates; Hominidae. The record is from RNAcentral.
AAUGAGGAGGAGGGAGACUGAGGGGGCUGCCUUUCCUUGGGGACUGGGGAACUCAUGCCCUGCCCCCACCCGCAGGGCUCCAGGGGUGAGGAAACUGAGGCUCGUUACUGACUUGCCCAAGAUUCCACAGUGGAAGAGCCUGGACGUGAACUGCGUCUCCAGGUCUCGAACCAUUUCCUGUCCUGGUCCCAGGACCUAGGUGGGGCCGCCGCGCGGUCAGACAGAGCCGGCCCGCCUGGGACCCCUUGGCUGCCCUCGCCCCCCGGCCCCGCCCCCCGCACGCUCACCGGCCUCGGCGCUGGCCGCCCCACCAUCCGGAGCGCACCGCCCGGACGCCCAGCGCCAGCAGCAGCAGCACCAGCAGCGCGGCGCCGGCCGUCAGGCCCCCGACCAGCGCCCUCCAGUGGACGGCCACCUCGCAGCGCGGGCCAGAGAACCAGUGCGUGUCGGUGGAGUAGCAGCUGCGGGAGAUCGCAGGAGCAGUCUCUGUGGAAACUGCUGAGCCACAUGGUCAAGCACCACAGCCAGCCAAGACGCUGCAAACCAAGCUGGAGGUUUCGGGGGUUUCCAGUCUUUUUUUUUUUUUUUUUUAAGUAUCAAACACCAUAAAAUUCCCAUCACUGUUCUGGAGACACAGACGUAAAUGGAAAAUGGAUUCCUGUUAGUCUGGUGCAUCUGAAAGUUCUGUGAACACUAGCCUGCCACAUUCAGUGGAUCUGGAGGCAACUAUCGCCCUCCUAUAAAUACCAAGGGUGCCACUGGCCUGCUCCUUACACCAGACAGUAAACAGUCACCAAGAGCCUGAUUGAAGCUUUGGGACAAAACAAUGAAACCAAAAGAUGGAUUUGCUGAGUAGCGGAGACCGUAAACUGCUACUCUCAGUUUAUUUAUUUAUUUAUUUUUAAUUUUUUUUUUUUUUUGAGAUGGAGUCUCACUCUGCC